GACGAACGCUGGCGGCGUGCCUAAUACAUGCAAGUUGAGCGCUGAAGGUUGGUACUUGUACCAACUGGAUGAGCAGCGAACGGGUGAGUAACGCGUGGGGAAUCUGCCUUUGAGCGGGGGACAACAUUUGGAAACGAAUGCUAAUACCGCAUAAAAACUUUAAACACAAGUUUUAAGUUUGAAAGAUGCAAUUGCAUCACUCAAAGAUGAUCCCGCGUUGUAUUAGCUAGUUGGUGAGGUAAAGGCUCACCAAGGCGAUGAUACAUAGCCGACCUGAGAGGGUGAUCGGCCACAUUGGGACUGAGACACGGCCCAAACUCCUACGGGAGGCAGCAGUAGGGAAUCUUCGGCAAUGGACGAAAGUCUGACCGAGCAACGCCGCGUGAGUGAAGAAGGUUUUCGGAUCGUAAAACUCUGUUGGUAGAGAAGAACGUUGGUGAGAGUGGAAAGCUCAUCAAGUGACGGUAACUACCCAGAAAGGGACGGCUAACUACGUGCCAGCAGCCGCCGUAA
Molecule: ribosomal RNA, 513 nt
Filed under: uncultured bacterium
Lineage: Bacteria
Description: partial 16S ribosomal RNA
Rfam family: Bacterial small subunit ribosomal RNA
Source: RNAcentral